CUUGGUCAUUUAGAGGAAGGUGGACGGACCCAUUCAGCCGCAUCUCGUGCUGCCCAAGGAGAGCCACGAACCCGAUCAGGACCCUUUAGUGCAGCAGUACGUCAAGAUUGGAGACGCAGCCCUUAAGAAUUCGCUCG
Molecule: unclassified non-coding RNA, 137 nt
Filed under: fungal sp.
Lineage: Eukaryota; Fungi
Description: partial internal transcribed spacer region
Source: RNAcentral